RNAcentral lists this long non-coding RNA (1685 nucleotides) under Helicoverpa zea (corn earworm). RNAcentral describes it as "uncharacterized LOC124636093". Lineage: Eukaryota; Metazoa; Arthropoda; Insecta; Lepidoptera; Noctuidae. The record is from RNAcentral.
GUAGGUUCAGAUGACAAGCGCUCAACGCGCGUUGAACGCGCGUUGAAUUUUUGUAUAGUGUUCACAUGGUGCGCGCUUGUCAGGCGUUAAACGCGCGUUGUUGCGGCCAGUUUGAGUUCUACAUUUGUCGAAGAUGGACGUAGAAACAGUUUUAUCGGUGAUUUUAUACAAACGGCAGAAACGACACAACAGAAGACGGAGAUAUUGGGUUCACCCAAUUUUGUCAACCAGGCUGACUGAAAGUCAGUACAUUAUUUUAUAUCCUAAGUUAAGGCAAUUUGAGCCCAAAUUCUUUAACUACUUCAGAAUGUCCAUCAAGUCAUUUGAUGACUUACUGACUCUCAUAAACGAUGAACUCGUAGCAGAUAAAAACGCUGUGCAAUAUAGCAUUUCACCGGAAGAAAAACUCAUAAUUACAUUGAGGUAAGUUUUUUAAUAAUCAACAUAAUCUAUAAAUCAAAUAAAUCAAAUCAACUUGUUUAGGAACAAUUUUUUUAAAGAAAAAAUAACAUUUUGUUACUCGCAGAAUAACUCUAACUCUGAUUCAUUGCUGACAUUAGUUGGUGCUGGCGAUGGAGUAGGUGUUACUGGCGAUGGAGACCCCAUUGCUGUAGUAUAACCAUAAUGUGCAAAAUUAUUUGACACACUAGACUGCUGUGAUCUAUAAUCAUGAUAACGAAAGCCUUCAACAGAAGCUGAUGACUGAUGACGCUGCUCUUGUGAUGAAUAAUUUCUUCGUUGUGAUACCGGAUAUUUGGCCAUUGGAUGUUCAUUUGGGACAUUAAGCUACGACUAUAGAAUUGGAAAAUCUACUGUGGCUACUAUAAUACCACAUGUAUGUGAAACUAUUUGGAAAAAAUUAAGGCCCGUUGUUAUGAGUGAACCAACGAAAGAAAAGUGGUGUGAAAUAUCCACGAUAUUUGAAAAGAACUCAAAGUUUCCCAAUUGUUUGGGAGCCUUGGACGGGAAACAUAUACGGUUAAUCCAGCCUGAACACACGGGUUCUAUGUAUUAUAACUAUAAAAAUUAUUUUUCGCUAGUUUUAUUGGCGCUAGCGGAUGCAAACUAUUGUUUUGUGUGGGUUGACAUAGGUGCCUACGGUAAAAACAGUGACUCAGGUAUAUUCAAGAAUUCUUCAUUGUACAAAAAGCUGACAGAAAGGUCAUUAGAUCUACCUGAGCCAAAGGCAUUGUUAAUACAAAAUAGACCGACAACGUUGCCAUAUGUGAUAGUGGCUGAUGAGGCUUUUGGCAUGAUGGAGAAUUUAAUGCGUCCAUAUGGGGGAAGGUCACUAACUUAUGCUAAAAAAAUAUUUAAUUACCGUUUGACAUUAGCACGCCGGUGUUGAAUGUACUUUUGGCAUAAUGUGCAAUAAAUGGCGCAUUUUACACAGGCCGUUAGAUGUUAACAUCGGUUUUGCAGAAAAGAUCGUAAAAGCGAUAUGUACACUAAAUAAUUAUGUCAGAAUCAGGGAUGGCUAUAAUUUUGAAGACACACUUUAUACGCCACCCCUGGAAAAUCUAGCCUCACAUUAUACCGGACGUGCUGUGCGACAGGCGGAUAAUGUUCGAGUACAUUUAACAAACUAUUUCAUUAAUGAAGGAGAAGUAGAUUGGCAGGAUCGUUAUAUUUAACUUGUAACACAAACCGAUUGUAAAUGUAAAUAAAUAUAUAUACUCACAUAA